UAUUUAGGCACACCUCAUUGCAGUAGACAGUGGAGAUUUAUGGCACUUCCAGGAACUCAAAUUGCAGGUUUCAUGGCAUCUUUUACAACAUAAAAUAUUUUUCUUUUCCCAGUCUGUCCCCAGUAUUCUAUGAAAAGUUAAUUCUGCAAUAUCCCACUGCUAUGUGUUAAUGUUUACAGGAGUUUCUGGCCCAGGACUCACAGGCACUGGUGGCCUUGCCUGUGCUGCCUCUGUCCUUGGGGCUCAACCCCUAACCCAUGUUAGUGAGACUGGUAGUUGCAGGACACUAGUAAAAACAAAACCGUAGUGAGUAGAAAACAAACCAGAUUUUUCCUUUGAAGAGGCUGCUGCCUUUCCAAGCAUCAGAUUACUUUAAGAAAUACAAACUCUGGAAAACACUGCAAAUGUGUUAUUAAUUCCUGCUUUUUCUGAUAUUCAGGUCUUUAGUCCAAGGUGUCUUGGUGCAGGGAGAAAAGCCCCGGGGCAGCGCGGCGGGCACCCACGGCCGGGGUAACCGGGCGCUGCCCUUGAGCCGUCACUGGAGCGCGGGGCUGGGCACCGGGGCCGCCUCGGCCUCAGCUUCCUCUUCCGUGCGCCUCCGGGAGGAAAACGCGAUUCCUUUCUCUCCGUGCAAAUGCAGUCCCCCACGUACCUCGUCUCAGGCGUCCUCCGUGGAGCCGUCCGGCUGCUGCCUCCUGCCUGGGCCGCGGCUGCCGAGCCCUGUGCGGGGACCUUGUCCCCGGAGCCGGCGCCGCGGGCCGCGGGUGUUCCGGGGAGCGCUGACCUCUGCAGGCAGGAAAAUCCCACAGCGCUCGGGAUCUGCUGCCUGGUCACUGCACAGUUCCAUGGACACCUGUGCUGGGAACACUCAGCCUUUGCUUUCUGCACAGAGAAUUUGCCUUCCACCUGGGGAGUUGAUGGAACAGCCCAAUGUAUUUUCUGCCUGAUCAUGGAACUGCCUAAAAAGCCACUUUGAAAUGGCUGAAAUGGUGUCUAAAGGUGCUUGUGAAGUACAGCUGCACCUGCCUGUGCUGCUCUGGUAAGGGCACACAGAGGUUGGUAUUUCUGAUGGUACAGGUGUGCUGCUGAGACACACAGCUUGACUGGCACACUGGUGCAAAGCCAGUGACCCUUGGGAAAGCCACUAUGGUCACUUGGGCUGUUCUCAGUAAUACACAGAUUGUCCCUUUUAGUUACCAGGUUUCUAGGAGGCUUUCCAGAGCUGCAGCUGCCCUCUUGUCCCCUUGUGCCUGGCAAACCUGCCUCCACAGAGAAGCAGGAGUCCCCCAAGCUGUUCCUACAUGGACUUCCCUGUUUGAAAUAUUCACUGUGUCUCUAGAGUUAACCAAGAGUUAGCUGGUGGUUAGUGUGCACCCACAGUCUGGGGGGGAAAUAACACCAUUCUCUCUGCAUCCACUUGUGUGAGUACUUUUGGUGAAUACUGCACUUUUCCCACAGUGAUUCCCUCUGGUCUGGGAAAACCUUUUCUGUGCCUUCUACUGGAGCAAGUGUU
This 1513-nucleotide long non-coding RNA is filed under the name Junco hyemalis (dark-eyed junco). RNAcentral's name for it is "lncRNA (ENSJHYG00000008199.1)". Lineage: Eukaryota; Metazoa; Chordata; Aves; Passeriformes; Passerellidae. The record is from RNAcentral.